This is a long non-coding RNA of Rhinolophus ferrumequinum (greater horseshoe bat), 2757 nucleotides long. RefSeq lists it as uncharacterized. The transcript is spliced from 3 exons. NCBI's taxonomy places the organism in Eukaryota, Metazoa, Chordata, Mammalia, Chiroptera, Rhinolophidae. The record is from RefSeq and is a predicted model, not a curated record.
AUUAAAACCUAUUCAAGGUGAUCUCUAUAAUAAGCCCUGUCAUUCACCUGGUUCUCAUACAUGCUUCUGAAUGAGCAAGAAAGAAGACAUUAAGGAGGGCGCAAUCAUCAGCUGAGAGGGAAGAGGUCAGAGUGCAACACGGAAGGCUGUGGUAUAAAGUGGGAAAGGAAGAUGAGCAAAAAUAGUUCCAGUCUAGGUUUGAAGUCACUCCCACCAAGGGACGGUGGUAGGAUCUGUGCCAGGUGAACCGAAAAAGCAAGUGCCUUGGAAAGACCAGAAAGACUGAAGGCCUCCCUGGGGAAAGGCCAGGAGAAGCAGCCUCACACUCCAGGUUUCCAUGUGCAUGUCUGCUGGCAAGACACGUCCUGUCACACAGCACAAGGAAGGGAUGACUGCACACGAAGCUUUAAACAUAGGUCACCAUGAACUAACACCAAAGUUUGCCAGGUUUAUUAGUUUUCUAGAGCCGCCAUUAACAAAUUACCAAAAACUGGGUGGCUUAAAACAGGAGAAAUGUAAUGUCUCACAGCUGUGGUAGCUAAAAGUCUGAAGUCAAGGAGUCAGCAGUGUUGGUUCUUUCUGGAGGUCCUGAGAGAGAAUUUGUUCUCUGCCUCUCUCUUAGCUUCUGGAGCUUGCCAGCAAUCCUCGGUGUUCCUUGGACUGUAUCUGCAUCACUCACGUCUGACACGUAGUCUUCUCUUCCUGUCUGUGUCAACAUUCAAAUGUCCCUCUUCUUACGAGGACACCAGCCAAUGGACUAGGUUCCACCUUACAUUACAUUUGAAAAGACACUAUUUCUAAAUAAGAUUACAUUCAUUGGUACUGGGGGUAAAAACUUGAACAUAUCUUUUAGGGGGACAUCACUGAACCCACAAUACCAGAUCUUUCAAAAGCAACCAUCACCAGUAUGAUCUGGGACUUUGUAGCACAAUGGGAGGACAAUAUAGAAUGUUAAAGCUCAAAGCAACCUUAGAAACCACCAAAUCCAAGUACCUUCCUUUACAGGUGAUUAAGAGAUCUUUGCAAAGCAGCGAUUUGCAACCAACUGCAGUUUUGAGACCCCCGGGUACAAUCAAUUGUGAAAGACGAGGCAGUAAACUGUUAUUGAUAAAAGUCCUAAGCAGUGAGGAUGAUUCACUUUUCUUAUACACAAAGAUAGACUGAGGGCUGUGCCCAGAAUCAUCUCACUCAAAUUGACGUAUGUUUCUUGUGUAGGAGAGAAUGGGAGCUGUGGCGGGAGACACAGCUGGAGCUGAGAGUCGUCUGUAACAUGCAAUCCAUCGUAACAUCUGCCUCCAAGGAGGUUUGUCAAGCAUGAGAAUGUCAUUCAUCUGUGUACCCCAGCACAAAGAAGGCUGAAGACCUCCAUUCUACACAACGACUUUGCCAGACAAAGACUGUGUGAUAUACCUGUGCUCAUCCCAGUUUCCAGACUGGGAAUUGCAGGAAGGGGUUUCAAGGGACAAUUGUAUCCCACCCCUUUAGCUGCCUUUAUUUUUUUUUCGUUUUUCCUUUCGUGGAUGUAGCAAUGCAUGAGCCAGGUGUACAAAGCAGAGAAACAGGGGAAGCAAGAGAAAGGAGGAUUUGAGAGAAAUAGGCAAAUGGACUAGCAGAGUACAACUUCAAACAAGGAGGCUUAGCAGGGCAGGCUGCCGCAGAGAGCAAAACAUGUGAGAGGCAGAAUCGAAGGAAAAUCUUUCCCACGCUACUGAAGACCUACCUAAGCACAAAAUGUUUUCAGUCUUCUCCCUUCCAGAAUGAGGAAAACAAAGAGAUGUAUAAGUUAUAAAGAGGGAGAGAGGAGAAGAAACACACAAGCAUGUAUCGGAAGUCCACUGUAGGCCAGGAAACAUGCUAGACAUGGAAGAUUCCAUCUCAUGGCAACUUCACAAUCCACAGCACCUAGGUGUUAUCCCCAUUUCACAGAGGAGGAAAUCGCAGAUCAGUGUAUCUGAGCACUUGGUCAACGUCACACUGCUGGUUCUGAUGGAACGAUGAUGAAACCUAGGACUCGGACCCAGGGCAGCUCUUCCCAAGAAGAAAAGGGGAGAGGAAGAGAGUACCACACCUCUUCUCCUGUUGUUUCUUGAAAACAAAAAAAUUCACAUGCUUUUGGAUAUGAAAAUUUUCUAAAGGACAGUAAAAAAUAGGAUAGGUGAAGACAUAUUAUUUGGGUGCUGCUUUUGAUUACUGUCUGGAAUCUCUGUAUAAGAUGACAGUAUAGAGAAAUGAAGAAAGUUAUCAUUGGGUUAGUUUCAUGGAAGGUGGGAGGCGGAAAACCCACAUGGGGCUUCACUGACAUUCCAGACUCAACAAUUUUAAUGGAACAGAACUAGGCAAGACAUGCGUUCUUUAUUUUUAUAUUUCAUUUUAUGUAUUUCAUCUUAAGAUCAAAGCUACAGAGCCCUGAUCCCAGAGAGGGGAGGAUCUGAGGUCUCAGCAGGUCUAUGAUGUACUUUCUAUACAGCACUGGCUCCGCUAUGUAGGUGUCCAGAUUCAAACUACAGUAUUCUCCUCAAACUAGAGAAGACGGUUUGAAGGACCAGUAAGGGUCCGAUGUAUAUAAGGCAGCCUCAAUGUAUGGACUUUGAAUAGAAAAGGAAAACAGUCCUAUCUAUGUACCUGUCUAAGUUUGGGUCACCUGAUUGGAAAUGGAUAGCUUUGUAAGUACAGUCCAGUUUCCUGGACACAAUGAAAUCUUCCUAAAUAGAGCCAUGUCUUCGGCUGUUACACUUGUCAUAAAGACCUGAUUAGAGA